CAGCCCGGUCUGAGGGAGGAGGCGAGGCGGCACCCCGGCAUUUUGGCAUCAGUAUAUAGCAUUUUGAAUGAAAUUUUUGGGAACUGGACAGAUUAUAUCUAUAACAUGUGAAGAGCACCAGCCAUAACGAAGUCUCAUAUAGAAAUCUCUGAACUGCUUUUAGAAGAGGGUAAAGCUUGUAGAGGCCUGGAAAGCUCAGAUGUGGAUAACGUGUCUGCUCAGCAUGUCCCUGGGCUGGACAGUCAACUUCAGUACUUCUGAAGAU
This is a long non-coding RNA of Chiroxiphia lanceolata (lance-tailed manakin), 265 nucleotides long. RefSeq lists it as uncharacterized. The transcript has 3 exons. The record is from RefSeq and is a predicted model, not a curated record. Lineage: Eukaryota; Metazoa; Chordata; Aves; Passeriformes; Pipridae.